This 234-nucleotide unclassified non-coding RNA is filed under the name uncultured fungus. Its description in RNAcentral is "sequence contains ITS1, 5.8S rRNA gene". The record is from RNAcentral. Lineage: Eukaryota; Fungi.
UUGAAUACGAUUGGUACUGAUGCUGGCUCUUCACAGAGCAUGUGCUCGUCCAUUCUAUUUAUCUUCUCUUGUGCACACUUUGUAGUCUUGAAUGAAACCCUUCGCAGUCAAUGCGGUUUGGGGGCUUGAGCGUCAGCUCUGCUCCUGCUUCUUCAAGGCUAUGUUUUCAUAUACACCAUAAAGUUACAGAAUGUCUUUUGACGAUUGCGCUUGUCGUAGUCAUUAAACCUUAUA